UGGGGAAUUUUGGACAAUGGGCGCAAGCCUGAUCCAGCCAUGCCGCGUGCGGAAAGAAGGCCUUCGGGUUGUAAACCGCUUUGUCAGGGAAGAAAUCUUCUGAGUUAAUACCUCGGGAGGAUGACGGUACCUGAAGAAUAAGCACCGGCUAACUACGUGCCAGCAGCCGCGGUAAUACGUAGGGUGCAAGCGUUAAUCGGAAUACUGGGCGUAAAGCGUGCGCAGGCGGUUUUGUAAGACAGAGGUGAAAUCCCCGGGCUCAACCUGGGAACUGCCUUUGUGACUGCAAGGCUUGAGUGCGGCAGAGGGGGGAUGGAAUUCCGCGUGUAGCAGUGAAAUGCGUAGAUAUGCGGAGGAACACCGAUGGCGAAGGCAAUCCCCUGGGCCUGCACUGACGCUCAUGCACGAAAGCGUGGGGAGCAAACAGGAUUAGAUAGCCCUGGUAGUCCACGCCCUAAACGAUGUCAACUGGUUGUUGGGAAGGUUCCUUCUCAGUAACGUAGCUAACGCGUGAAGUUGACCGCCUGGGGAGUACGGCCGCAAGGUUGGAAAGCUCAAAU
Molecule: ribosomal RNA, 560 nt
Filed under: uncultured bacterium
Lineage: Bacteria
Description: partial 16S ribosomal RNA
Rfam family: Bacterial small subunit ribosomal RNA
Source: RNAcentral